Molecule: long non-coding RNA, 493 nt
Filed under: Micromonas commoda
Lineage: Eukaryota; Viridiplantae; Chlorophyta; Mamiellophyceae; Mamiellales; Mamiellaceae
Description: long non-coding RNA (MCOM_LNC000351)
Source: RNAcentral
GCGCUUGUCAAAGUCGUCGCCGCCGAGGAAGGUGUCACCCGAGGUGGAGAGCACCUCGAAGACGCCGUCGCCAACCUCGAGGAUGGAGACGUCGAAGGUACCGCCGCCGAGGUCGAAGAUGAGGAUGGUCUCGUUGGACUUCUUCUCGAAGCCGUAGGCGAGGGACGCGGCGGUGGGCUCGUUGAUGAUGCGGAGCACCUCGACGCCGGCAAUCUUACCGGCAUCCUUGGUCGCCUGGCGCUGGGAGUCGUUGAAGUAGGCGGGGACGGUGAUGACCGCCUUGGUGACGGUGUCGCCGAGGUAGGAGGCGGCGUCGUCGCAGAGCUUGCGGAGGACCUGCGCGGAGAUCUCCUCGGCGGCGAAGUCCUUGCCGGCGACGGAGGACUUGAUCUUCACGUUGCCGGUGUCGCCCUUGACCACGGAGUAGGGCACCUCGCGGUCCUUCUCGCCAACCUCGUCCCAGCGGCGGCCGAUGAAGCGCUUGACGGAGAAG